RNAcentral lists this ribosomal RNA (254 nucleotides) under uncultured bacterium. RNAcentral describes it as "partial 16S ribosomal RNA". It matches the Rfam family "Bacterial small subunit ribosomal RNA", at positions 524 to 776 of the family's 1533-position model. The record is from RNAcentral.
UACGGGGGGAGCAAGCGUUGUUCGGAUUUACUGGGCGUAAAGGGCGCGUAGGCGGUCGUGACAAGUCACUUGUGAAAUCUCCGGGCUUAACUCGGAACGGUCAAGUGAUACUGUCGGACUAGAGUACAGAAGGGGCAACUGGAAUUCUCGGUGUAGCGGUGAAAUGCGUAGAUAUCUGGAGGAAUACCGGUGGCGAAGGCGGCAUCCUGGACCGAGAUUGACACUGAUGAGCGAAAGCUAGGGGAGCAAACGGG